Stegostoma tigrinum is the source of this 499-nucleotide long non-coding RNA. RefSeq lists it as uncharacterized. NCBI's taxonomy places the organism in Eukaryota, Metazoa, Chordata, Chondrichthyes, Orectolobiformes, Stegostomatidae. The record is from RefSeq and is a predicted model, not a curated record. The transcript has 3 exons.
CAGCCUUGUCCUCUGCACUGUCUGAGCGAGUUGCAGCGCAGUGUCUCUGAUCCUGGGAUCUUGCCUGCCCGUCCCCAGCGAACCCCGAGUGGGGCGAGACCCUGUGGCACCGGGGCUUGGAAGACUGAGUUGGCGUUUCAGAGAAUGGUUGAGUCAAUGACAUUGCUGUGGGUCUGGAGUCACAUGUAGGCCAGGCCAGGCCAGACCAGAAACUGAGAGUCCAUGAGGAUUCCUUGUGCCGUGGCCCGUUGUCUGAGUGAUGAACACAAUCAUCUGGCUAGAGACCAUCAUCAGCUUCACUUAUCCCUCGUAGGAACUACCUGUGACUCCCUUUCGCACUGAGCUUUACUCACCCUGAUUGCUUUCAGAAUUCUUGCUGUUUCCUUUGGGACUCCGUCUGCUGGUCUCCUGGAGUUGCUCGGCCACACAAUGCCAAUACGAAGGGGCCAUGUGGCUCCCCAGAACACCUUCCUUGACACCAUCAUCCGCAAACUGGAGG